Mus musculus (house mouse) is the source of this 1094-nucleotide long non-coding RNA. RefSeq annotates it as predicted gene, 40940. Lineage: Eukaryota; Metazoa; Chordata; Mammalia; Rodentia; Muridae. The transcript has 4 exons. The record is from RefSeq and is a predicted model, not a curated record.
GUGACAAGUUCCUCUUUCUUUUCUUGCCAGCCUCUCUUUGGAGCAUUUAUUUAGUUGGGAACGUCGGCCCCUGAAAUGGUGCUCCCCACGUUCCAUGUCAGGUGUUGCUACCAGGGCUGCUUGGGAGAGCAGAAAGACAUCCUGGAGACUGUUGCAAGAGCUUCACCUACUCUCAAGACUUCAAUCAACCCCCUGACUAGCUUGGAGGUGGACUGUGGAAAGCUGAAAACCCAGCCCCUGGCCAGUCACUCAGACCUCAAGAAAUAGCUGCCAUGGAGAAAAAAAAAUGUCUGCCGGCUCCUCAGUCACUUUCCAAGGUGACACUAACCCAGGGCAUCUGCACAGCAGCUCCUUCAUCAGGUUGUCACCCCUUCCCUUGGAACUGGCGAGCUGGAGGAUGGAGGUGGCCGCGCAACUUUCCAGGGAAUUUGUUCAGGGACUUUCAUGUCACUGGUCUCUGUGAGAAACCAGAAAUGGUUUUCCCAUUUCAUUCAUAGAUAAAAUGGGAAGUGAGCAGCCAGAUGAGCAAUCUGGGGGUUGUUCAUUUUGUCCCGAUAGGACUCUAUCCUCACACCUCUUCCGGUAUCCCGCAGAAUCCCAGGAGUGGUCUUCCUCACCAGCACCCGCCACCUGGGAAUCGGUGAGCUCUUCGGAGGACAAGCAAUGGUCUCAACUCCCAGAGGCUGCCUGUACUUCCUAAUCAUGGGUAUGAACUCAUACUGUGAUAUGUUGCCUCCCUCACAGGCUCCCGAGCACUGUGUCCAACUAGUCACCACCUCUAAAACUGAGCCCACAGGAACCUUACCUCUUUAUACAUUGAUUACCUCAUUCGGCUUUGUCAUAGUAAUGGAAAGCUAACUUUUGCUUAGGAAUGAAAAUAUUCUGGAGAUGAAGUUGUGAUGAUUAUGUGACAUUGUUGAAAAUUGUUGGGGCUGGAGAGAUGGCUCAUCAGUUAAGAGCACUGACUGCUCUUCUGAAGGUCCUGAGUUUAAAUCCCAGCAACCACACGGUGGCUCACAACCAUCUGUAAUGAGAUCUGAUGCCCUCUUCUGGGGUGUCUGAAGACAGCUACAGUGUACAUAUAACAAAUAAAU